AAAUUAUACCCUUUAAUUUUUUUUUUCUAGCAGCUUUAGAAUUCAAAUAAGUGCUAUAUGUCUCAAGUUAGCUUUCUCAUCCUAGACUUAAUUAUGCCUUAUGAGACUUCAAUAGUUUAAUCCUUAUUGUCAUCUUCAUUGUUCCUGAACCCAUCAAAACAGUAUUUGGCCAUAGCAAAAUCAUUAGAUUUACAAUAUGGCUUUUGAGUACAUGAAUCAAACUAUACUGAUAGUUAAAACUUAUUUUGCAAAGCUAGACUAGAAUGAAUAUACUAUAGAUUAUGCAAUAUGACAGCAUGUAUCAGUUUUUAGGUUAGUUUUCUCUUUUCAACAGAGAAAAAUCUUCAGUGGUAUAUUUAAAGUAUUUAGUUAUUCAGUUUUUAAUAAUACAACAUUAUGAUCUUAGAUUGUUGAUUAACACAAAGGCACACAAUAAAAGCUUCAAUAAAGGCACAUAAGAGAAGAGCUUUCUAAUCUCUACUAUAUGCAGGCUUCAGAUAAGGGAGAGAAGGGAAGGGGUCAAAAAUGUUACCAGCCCAUUUUUCCUAAACAAGUGUUCUGAUUCAAAUAUUUUAACAACUACCUUAGAAGUUGUUAUCGUUUAGAUAUAAAGUGUCUUCAGAAACUCAUGUGUGAGAC
This 639-nucleotide long non-coding RNA is filed under the name Marmota monax (woodchuck). Lineage: Eukaryota; Metazoa; Chordata; Mammalia; Rodentia; Sciuridae. The record is from RNAcentral.